AGUGAACGCUGGCGGUAGGCCUAACACAUGCAAGUCGAACGGCAGCACAGUAAGAGCUUGCUCUUACGGGUGGCGAGUGGCGGACGGGUGAGGAAUACAUCGGAAUCUACUUUUUCGUGGGGGAUAACGUAGGGAAACUUACGCUAAUACCGCAUACGACCUACGGGAGAAAGCAGGGGAUCUUCGGACCUUGCGCGAUUGAAUGAGCCGAUGUCGGAUUAGCUAGUUGGCGGGGUAAAGGCCCACCAAGGCGACGAUCCGUAGCUGGUCUGAGAGGAUGAUCAGCCACACUGGAACUGAGACACGGUCCAGACUCCUACGGGAGGCAGCAGUGGGGAAUAUUGGACAAUGGGCGCAAGCCUGAUCCAGCCAUACCGCGUGGGUGAAGAAGGCCUUCGGGUUGUAAAGCCCUUAUGUUGGGAAAGAAAAGCAGCAGGUUAAUACCCCGCUGUUCUGACGGUACCCAAAGAAUAAGCACCGGCUAACUUCGUG
RNAcentral lists this ribosomal RNA (492 nucleotides) under uncultured bacterium. RNAcentral's name for it is "partial 16S ribosomal RNA". It matches the Rfam family "Bacterial small subunit ribosomal RNA", at positions 29 to 507 of the family's 1533-position model. The record is from RNAcentral.